GGUGAUAUUGUCGUCCCAGCACAUGUUAAAGAAUUAUUACCGAGAUGAGCUAUUUCUCUAAGUAUAUAUAUUCAUAUUAUACUUCAUAUUUCAUGUUUGGAGGGAGGAUAUUUGGGCGAACGGUAGGAGUGCCUAUUGGUGGCCCGGUGGCGGGUGUGCUUGCGGAGAUGGUGCUUCGAGCAGUGGAGGAGCGGGGCUUGUAUAAGUUCCAGCAAUGUGUGUGCUUGUAUGUUGGAUAUAUCGAUGAUGUGCUUGUGUGUUGGGAGGGUGGUCGGAGGUUGGAGGAUUUUGCGGGGGAGCUGACAAUGCAGCAAU
Molecule: long non-coding RNA, 315 nt
Filed under: Androctonus crassicauda
Lineage: Eukaryota; Metazoa; Arthropoda; Arachnida; Scorpiones; Buthidae
Source: RNAcentral